Molecule: long non-coding RNA, 708 nt
Organism: Camponotus floridanus (Florida carpenter ant)
Lineage: Eukaryota; Metazoa; Arthropoda; Insecta; Hymenoptera; Formicidae
Exons: 3
Source: RefSeq, a predicted model, not a curated record
AAUAUUCGCUUUUCGAAUUUUCAGUUUGUCGUUACAUCUAAAGAGAGAGAGAGAGAGAGCAUUGCAUCUAAAGUCAUUACAUCUAAGAGAAGAGCUGUUAUAAUACUAUUUCCAGUUUGUCAUUACAUCUAGAGAGAGAGAGAGAGAGCAUUACAUCUAAGAGAGCAUUGCAUCUAAGUCAUUACAUCUAAGAGCUGUUAUAUAAUACCAUUUUUAUGAAAGGCAAAUUUACUAGAGCUACAUUGCGUUUUUUAAUGUCGAAUGAGCUGGCUGUGCAGUAUUCCUGGUCUGGUCAAAGAAGAACUAUUCAAUUUAAAAGUACCCUAAUUUCUCAACUUAUUGUCGAAACCGUUUCAAAAGUGAAAAAUGCAUCUAGAAGCGACAUAGAAAUAUUUAUAAAGAAGUGGCUGCAGCACGCUAGCGACCGAAUAAAAAAUAAGAAAUAAAUUUUCAUAAUUCCAUAAUAUAUACAUAUCUACUUUAGGCCUGAUUGAACCAACGUUAUUUUUAAGCGUUAUUUUAAGCUUUAAACGAGACUUUAAUGUAUUUUUAUUUAGAAAGAAAGAGGAAGAUUGAUACAUUAUAUAUAUUUAAUAUUAUAUAUUUAAGUCUCUUGUACGUAUGUAUGUGAACGUAUGAGAUACGAAUAUAUUUGGUGUAUAAUUUACGUCACCGCGCGAAAGCGAUUAAUAUAAUAUAUACAGACGA